RNAcentral lists this ribosomal RNA (653 nucleotides) under Kocuria rosea. Its description in RNAcentral is "bacterial SSU rRNA". It matches the Rfam family "Bacterial small subunit ribosomal RNA", at positions 31 to 696 of the family's 1533-position model. The record is from RNAcentral. Lineage: Bacteria; Bacillati; Actinomycetota; Actinomycetes; Micrococcales; Micrococcaceae.
GAACGCUGGCGGCGUGCUUAACACAUGCAAGUCGAACGAUGAUGCCCAGCUUGCUGGGCGGAUUAGUGGCGAACGGGUGAGUAAUACGUGAGUAACCUGCCCUUGACUCUGGGAUAAGCCUGGGAAACUGGGUCUAAUACUGGAUACUACCUCUUACCGCAUGGUGGGUGGUGGAAAGGGUUUUACUGGUUUUGGAUGGGCUCACGGCCUAUCAGCUUGUUGGUGGGGUAAUGGCUCACCAAGGCGACGACGGGUAGCCGGCCUGAGAGGGUGACCGGCCACACUGGGACUGAGACACGGCCCAGACUCCUACGGGAGGCAGCAGUGGGGAAUAUUGCACAAUGGGCGGAAGCCUGAUGCAGCGACGCCGCGUGAGGGAUGACGGCCUUCGGGUUGUAAACCUCUUUCAGUAGGGAAGAAGCGAGAGUGACGGUACCUGCAGAAGAAGCGCCGGCUAACUACGUGCCAGCAGCCGCGGUAAUACGUAGGGCGCAAGCGUUGUCCGGAAUUAUUGGGCGUAAAGAGCUCGUAGGCGGUUUGUCGCGUCUGCUGUGAAAGCCCGGGGCUCAACCCCGGGUCUGCAGUGGGUACGGGCAGACUAGAGUGCAGUAGGGGAGACUGGAAUUCCUGGUGUAGCGGUGAAAUGCCAGAUA